UCUCCGUUGGUGAACCAGCGGAGGGAUCAUUACAGAGUUGCAAAACUCCCAAACCAUUGUGAACGUUACCUAUCCCGUUGCUUCGGCGGGCGGCCCGGGCCCCGCGCCCGGCGCCCCCCGGCCCCCCGUGGGCGCCCGCCGGAGGUAAACCAAACCCUUGAAUUGCAUGGCCUCUCUGAGUCCUCUGUACUGAAUAAGUCAAAACUUUCAACAACGGAUCUCUUGGUUCUG
RNAcentral lists this unclassified non-coding RNA (231 nucleotides) under plant metagenome. RNAcentral describes it as "partial contains small subunit ribosomal RNA, internal transcribed spacer 1, and 5.8S ribosomal RNA". The record is from RNAcentral.